GAUGAACGCUGGCGGCGUGCCUAGUACAUGCAAGUCGAGCGAACGGACGAGAAGCUUGCUUCUCUGAUGUUAGCGGCGGACGGGUGAGUAACACGUGGAUAACCUACCUAUAAGACUGGGAUAACUUCGGGAAACCGGAGCUAAUACCGGAUGAUAUUUUGAACCGCAUGGUUCAAAAGUGAAAGACGGUCUUGCUGUCACUUAUAGAUGGAUCCGCGCUGCAUUAGCUAGUUGGUAAGGUAACGGCUUACCAAGGCAACGAUGCAUAGCCGACCUGAGAGGGUGAUCGGCCACACUGGAACUGAGACACGGUCCAGACUCCUACGGGAGGCAGCAGUAGGGAAUCUUCCGCAAUGGGCGAAAGCCUGACGGAGCAACGCCGCGUGAGUGAUGAAGGUCUCCGGAUCGUAAAACUCUGUUAUUAGGGAAGAACAUAUGUGUAAGUAACUGUGCACAUCUUGACGGUACCUAAUCAGAAAGCCACGGCUAACUACGUG
Molecule: ribosomal RNA, 497 nt
Filed under: uncultured bacterium
Lineage: Bacteria
Description: partial 16S ribosomal RNA
Rfam family: Bacterial small subunit ribosomal RNA
Source: RNAcentral